GAUGAAGAACGCAGCGAAAUGCGAUAAGUAAUGUGAAUUGCAGAAUUCAGUGAAUCAUCGAAUCUUUGAACGCACAUUGCGCCCCCUGGUAUUCCGGGGGGCAUGCCUGUCCGAGCGUCAUUGCUGCCCUCAAGCACGGCUUGUGUGUUGGGCCCCCGUCCCCGGUUUCCCCCGGGGACGGGCCCGAAAGGCAGCGGCGGCACCGCGUCCGGUCCUCGAGCGUAUGGGGCUUUGUCACCCGCUCUGUAGGCCCGGCCGGCGCCAGCCGACACCCAACUUUAUUUCUAAGGUUGACCUCGGAUCAGGUAGGGAUACCCGCUGAACUUAAGCAUAUCAAUAAGCGGAGGA
This 348-nucleotide unclassified non-coding RNA is filed under the name soil metagenome. Its description in RNAcentral is "partial contains 5.8S ribosomal RNA, internal transcribed spacer 2, and large subunit ribosomal RNA". The stretch from base 1 to 120 matches the Rfam family "5.8S ribosomal RNA", at positions 35 to 154 of the family's 154-position model. The record is from RNAcentral.